Molecule: non-coding RNA, 299 nt
Organism: Chiloscyllium plagiosum (whitespotted bambooshark)
Lineage: Eukaryota; Metazoa; Chordata; Chondrichthyes; Orectolobiformes; Hemiscylliidae
Source: RefSeq, a predicted model, not a curated record
UUGGGUUUUAAAUGUGCAGCUGCUCAAAUGCUUUCUUCACAGUGGAAAAGUUUUAUAUUCUUUGCUCAAGUUUCAUAGCGAGUGGUAAUAAAGGAACGAGAGAAAUCAAUGAGUAAGGCAACAACUGGAUGAUCAAUGUUAUUACACUUGCCAGAGCACCUUAGAUAGAAAUCAAGCUGGAGUGAGGGGAAAUUUGGUUCCCUUUACAUCACUCAGCCGACAACAUAAUAGAAUGAGCAGAGAUGACUGGGAAGAGUACAAAUUGCCAGACGGAGAACUGGAGAAAGUUGAGAAUGGGG